AUGCUUACCUGGUGUGAGGGCUACCGUGAUCAGAAGGGUGGCUCCCUUUAGGGCGAGGCCUUUCCGCAUUUCGUUCGGGCUGCAACGUGCAACCCCUGCGAGUUUCUUUAAUGCAUAUCUCGGCGAGACGGGUCAGCGUUCGCGCUAUCCCGGG
This 154-nucleotide small nuclear RNA is filed under the name Bemisia tabaci. RNAcentral's name for it is "U1 spliceosomal RNA". The record is from RNAcentral. Lineage: Eukaryota; Metazoa; Arthropoda; Insecta; Hemiptera; Aleyrodidae.